GCCCAGUGACUCUGUUUAACGGCCGCGGUAUCCUAACCGUGCGAAGGUAGCGUAAUCACUUGUUCUUUAAAUGAGGACUAGUAUGAAUGGCAUCACGAGGGUUAUACUGUCUCCUUUCCUCAAUCAGUGAAACUAAUCUCCCCGUGAAGAAGCAGGGAUAAAUAUAUAAGACGAGAAGACCCUAUGGAGCUUUAAACUAAAUUACAUUUGCCUAAUCAACAAAAAUCUCAGAAAAAUAAAAUUUACCUAAGCAUUAUGAUAAAUAGUUUUGGGUUGGGGUGACCGCGGAGUAUAAAACAUCCUCCGCGUUGAACAAGAUUGUUUCUUUAGCUAAAAGCUACAACUUUAAGCAUCAAUAAAUUGACAUUAUUGACCCAAUAUUUUGAUCAACGAACCAAGUUACCCUAGGGAUAACAGCGCAAUCCACUUCA
This is a ribosomal RNA of 431 nucleotides. It matches the Rfam family "Bacterial large subunit ribosomal RNA", at positions 1861 to 2494 of the family's 2925-position model.